UUUUUAAAUUGCUGUGGUAUUUUAACUAUACGAAGGUAUUGAAAUAAGGCUUUAAAUGGGUGCUAAGAGAAUGGUUUAACGAAGAUAGACUUUUUUCUUUUUUUUAUUAAAAGUUGAUUUAAAAAUGAAGAGGUUUUUAUAGAAAUUUGGGACAAGAAGACCCUAUGAAUUUUGAUAUAAGAUUUUUUAAUUAAAUUUUCUAAUAAAUUUUAAAUUUUUCUUUUAUUUGAUUGGGGUGAUUUUUAAAGAUUCAGAAUCUUUAAAGUUUUAUUAAAUGGAUCCAUUAAUAGUGAUUUGUUGAAUAAAAUACUCUAGGGAUAACAGCGUUAUUAUUUUGGAUAGUUCAUAUAGAUAAAAUAGUUUGCGACCUCGAUGUGGAUUAAGAUACUCUUGGAGUGUAGAAGCUUCAAAAAUAGGAGAAGUUUGCUCAACUUUUAAAUUCUUACUUGAUCUGA
This 455-nucleotide ribosomal RNA is filed under the name Carios vespertilionis. RNAcentral's name for it is "partial 16S ribosomal RNA". The stretch from base 317 to 455 matches the Rfam family "Bacterial large subunit ribosomal RNA", at positions 2473 to 2608 of the family's 2925-position model. The record is from RNAcentral. Lineage: Eukaryota; Metazoa; Arthropoda; Arachnida; Ixodida; Argasidae.